This 359-nucleotide RNase P RNA is filed under the name Acutalibacter sp. RNAcentral describes it as "RNase P RNA component class A". It matches the Rfam family "Bacterial RNase P class A". Rfam says of the family: Ribonuclease P (RNase P) is a ubiquitous endoribonuclease, found in archaea, bacteria and eukarya as well as chloroplasts and mitochondria. The record is from RNAcentral. Lineage: Bacteria; Bacillati; Bacillota; Clostridia; Eubacteriales; Acutalibacteraceae.
UGAGCAAACCAGACAGUUGCGGGCGCUUUGCGAAAGCGGGCGUCUGAGGAAAGUCCGGGCUCCACAGGGCAAGGAUAACGGCUAACGGCCGCCGGGGGUGACCCCAGGGAAAGUGCAACAGAGAUAUACCGCCGGGGGAAACCCCGGUAAGGGUGGAAAGGCGAGGUAAAAGCUCACCGGCGCGCAGGAGACUGCGCGGCCCUGUAAACCCUAUCCGGAGCAACACCGUGGCAGGACGGCAGUUCAGUCUGCAAGCGCGGCCCGCGCGUCCUAUGGAGGUGGCGAGAGCCUGUUGGCAACGGCAGGCCAAGAUAGAUGACUGUCCGCGACAGAACCCGGCUUACAGGUUUGGUCACAAG